RNAcentral lists this ribosomal RNA (526 nucleotides) under Nakazawaea ernobii. Its description in RNAcentral is "eukaryotic LSU rRNA". It matches the Rfam family "Eukaryotic large subunit ribosomal RNA", at positions 104 to 646 of the family's 3401-position model. The record is from RNAcentral. Lineage: Eukaryota; Fungi; Ascomycota; Pichiomycetes; Alaninales; Pachysolenaceae.
UAGCUCAGAUUUGACAAUCUAGCACUUUCAGUGUUCGAGUUGUAAUUUGAAGAAGGUAUCUUUGGAGUUGGCCCCCGUCUAUGUUCCUUGGAACAGGACGUCACAGAGGGUGAGAAUCCCGUGCGAUGGGGAGACCAAUUCUAUGUAAAGUUCCUUCGAAGAGUCGAGUUGUUUGGGAAUGCAGCUCUAAGUGGGUGGUAAAUUCCAUCUAAAGCUAAAUAUUGGCGAGAGACCGAUAGCGAACAAGUACAGUGAUGGAAAGAUGAAAAGAACUUUGAAAAGAGAGUGAAAAAGUACGUGAAAUUGUUGAAAGGGAAGGGCUUUUGAUCAGACUUGGUGUUUAGUACUCUCUACUCCUUGUGGGUGGGGCUCUUGCUUUAUACUGGGCCAGCAUCGGUUUGGAUGGUAGGAUAAUAGCAUUGGAAUGUGGCUUCAUUCGUGAAGUGUUAUAGCCUUUGUUGAUACUACCUAUCUAGACCGAGGACUGCGUCUUUUGACUAGGAUGCUGGCGUAAUGAUUAAAAGCC